Molecule: unclassified non-coding RNA, 387 nt
Filed under: uncultured fungus
Lineage: Eukaryota; Fungi
Description: sequence contains ITS1
Rfam family: 5.8S ribosomal RNA (bases 1-105)
Source: RNAcentral
GAAAUGCGAUACGUAAUGUGAAUUGCAGAAUUCAGUGAAUCAUCGAAUCUUUGAACGCAAAUUGCGGUUUGGGGUAUUCCCCGGACCAUACCUGGUUGAGUAUCAUUAAACAACCUCAUUCAAAAAACAUUUUCUUGUUCUGCGAAUGGUUAUGAGGUGUCUUGGCAGCCAUGAUUUUUUCAUGUGCAACCAAGUCCCUUUAAAUGUCGAGAUGUGCGCUUGAACUUCAUCCAGCACAGACGGUGUAUUAAUAUGAUUCUUCAUUUUCUCACCAUCUGUCAGAAGCUCGUCUGCUACACAUCCAAAAUCAAGAACUAUCCUGAGACCUGUAAAAGGGUCUCUUGAAUCCUUGAUCUCAACUCAGGUAAGACUACCCGCCGAAUUUAA